UACGAAGGGUGCAAACGUUGCUCGGAAUUAUUGGGCGUAAAGCGCACGUAGGCGGCAUUGCAAGUCGGAUGUGAAAUCUUAUGGCUUAACCAUAAAAGUGCAUCCGAAACUGCAGUGCUUGAGUACUUAAGAGGAUCGCGGAAUUCCGGGUGUAGUGGUGAAAUGCGUAGAGAUCCGGAGGAACGCCUGUGGCGCAAGCGGCCACCUGGGCCUGACCUGACGCUGAGGUGCGAAAGCGUGGGGAGCGAACCGG
This 253-nucleotide ribosomal RNA is filed under the name uncultured bacterium. RNAcentral's name for it is "partial 16S ribosomal RNA". It matches the Rfam family "Bacterial small subunit ribosomal RNA", at positions 524 to 776 of the family's 1533-position model. The record is from RNAcentral.